AUGAGAUUGCUGGGCCUUGUCCUGUACCUGGUAACAGCUCCUCAAGAUGAGUGUCACCAUGUAACAGGUGUGCUGUCACAGGUGCUGGUGAAGGAGUCACAGCCAGGCUUGGUGAGGCCCUCAGAGACACUGUACCUCACCUGCAUGGUCUUUGGUUACGCCAUUACCAGUGGUUAUGACUGGACUUGGAUCCGGCAACUUCGAAGGAAAGGCCUGGAGUGGAUGGUGUACAUAACUCCUUGUGGUGGCACUGAUUACAAUCCAUCCCUCAAGAGCCACAUGUCCAUCUCCAGGGACACGUCCAAGAACCAGUUCUCUCUGAAGCUGAACUGUGUGACUACUGAGGACACAGCCAUGUAUUAUUGUGCAAGAUGCCCAGGGAGGAGACUUCAAAGUGUCCUGUCACAGGUGCAGCUGCAGGAGUCAGGACCUGGCCUGCUCUAUCGUGGAUUCCGAAUGUGCGUGGGAGGCAACACGGGAGUAACGGUGAGCACUGCUAAGUUAGUGCAUCCCUCAACUCUCAUCAGCAAAGCUUUCUCACGCAACACAUUGCCACCAACACCAGAAAGUCACAGCUCACCAAAGUACCAAGUGAUGGAAAUGUAA
Non-coding RNA from Nannospalax galili (Upper Galilee mountains blind mole rat), 606 nucleotides. The record is from the annotation of a RefSeq genome assembly. Lineage: Eukaryota; Metazoa; Chordata; Mammalia; Rodentia; Spalacidae.